UGUAAUAAAGAUAAUCUAACGUUUUACCUAAUGAUAUAUAAGGAGGGCAUUUGCACAACAUGUUUCACAACAGCACACAACAAAAUUCCAGAGACAUAUUGAGCGACCAACUGAUACCAAUCACGACCACACCCAGAGACAGAUGGCUGACUUAAGCCCUAGCCACACGAACUGACCACUGGUGUAAAGAACAACAUUCCAUGAAUAUCGCAAGCACCCAGACACGAAUUACCAGAAAUACACACACACCCACACACACACUUAGGUGUGUUGGACUCCGAGGACAAAGGACACUGCCAAGGGCCAAGUCAGUCAUAAAGUGGCUGCAAAUCAGUAACAAGCACCUGAGACAGGUGGAGGAGAGAUUCGGGAUUGUACACAAAUUUGGGUAGGUGUGCAGGCCCCAAUCUCAGGGCCUCGUGGAACGCGCCACUCAAACCCUUAAGGCUAAAUAGCUAAGGUAUGUGCAGGUUUGAAUAUGCCUGGUCCACCAAGGGAGGGAGGUCAUAUGCCCGCCCUUGAUGUACAACAAAUUGUAAUGUCUGUAUGUGAGAAAACUGACGGAACUUUCUGCAGCUCUCUCCACACAGAUCCGCAAGGUCAAAGAGGGGGAGCUGUUGGGAGACUCGCCACCACUGAAGGUAAAUCAGGAGCACCUUGGCACCACCUUACACAUUGCACUCCAGCCCCAACCCCUUCCAGAACUUUGACUGAAACCAGGGCCGAUUUGCGCGCCCUACAUAAAUUUGAUUCCAACCACUGAAACCUUAGUUGGGGAAAAUGGGACAAUGGCUUCCGUUUCCACGACCUAAGGCACCACGCCCAGGGUCGGGGUACAUCCCUCCCUGGGAGAGGCUGGGGAUAUCAGCUCCCGUUUGUUAUUUUUGUGAGUGUACACUACUAGGCUGAUCACCACCGCUAUUGACCCUGGUCAGGUAGAUAGGGGCCUAAUGUUUCCUUUGCUUCAGGUGGAAGACACUGAACCCGAGUAUGCAUUCGAAUAGUUUAGUUUUCACGCCUGCCACGCGGGAGGCCCGGGUUCGGAUCCCAGCCCAUGCACCAUGGGACUAAAAUGUAAGAAGAUAUGUUUUGCCUGGAGAGAUACGGUUGCUAGCGUUUGUUUAAGAUAUAAAUGUAACGUUUUGAUAGCUUGAUUAGUUUAAAUUGAAAGGCUAACUAAUUAGAAAAUAAUAGCGAGAGAAUUUUGAUAUAAUACGUUCUCUGUUGCUGGAAAUGGCAUACAGAGAAAGAGUUGAAUGAUGUUAUUUUUAUAAGUAUGGCGAUUUACAUGGUACAUAUAAGGACAUAGACAUUUCAUAAGUGUGAAGCCGAAAGAGAGAUACAGUUGGAAUAUUGGUUUUAAUCUUGUGAUAGAGGAAAGGCAGAACGCGUUUUGUUUUGUGAUAAAUUCUGGUUAUUGAUUCGUGGUAUUGAUUGUUUAGUAACACCAGUGAAUUGAACAUUGCAAGGAAAAAUAUCAAGUCAUUAAGGUGAAUUACAGGUGGAGUUAAUUUUAUAAUUAACUGGGAAGGUGCACAUUAAUCACAGUUGUGUAUAAUGGCAGGGUAUUCCUAGCAAACAGAAUGUGCCGGUUUGCAGACAAACUGAAAGGGUUUUAGGGUUUUAAGCAAUCUUGGGUCAAAUUGGUUAAAUAGUACGUUAAAAUAUGGGGUUUCAUAGAUUGAAGUACAGUAUUGUAUCCAAGGGUAGCGCAUGUUCAAUUAAGUUUAAAACUAAUGAUUGGGGGGAGUACAAUGGAAGUAUAAGCAUUUUUAGGUUUUGUUUGUAGUUAACUUUUGGGUUUCUGAAUCGGUGUAGUAUGAGGAAAUGCUGACCAAGUGGUUAUUUUAUGGAAUAUGGAGCGCUUAGCUCUUUGGGGAAAAAUUCCUAGGGACAGGAUAUCUUAAAGGGGUAGACACACAUGGCAUUUUAAAGUUUUAUUUUCUGAGUUUUAAUUUAACACGUGAAAUUCUUUUGAUAGGGAAUGUUCUAGGAACUUGAGAUACGAAAUGUAGAUAAGGUUAUUAGCUUUCAUUUGUCUAAUGUAGUAAGAAAGAAAAAACGGUUCUGAAAAGGGGUUAUGACUUUUUUGACCCCACUGGUGACUUUUCCUUUUGUGGUCUGAUCAGCCGCAAUGAAAAGCCAUUGGAUGGUGAAUUUAAGGUCAUUUGGGAUACUAACUUUAAGGAAGCUAGGAGAACUGAUAAUUAUGAUGGAGUUAAAGUUCUUAGACACAAUUGAUCAUUUGAACCAAUGAGAAGACAAAAUGACGAAAAGGGUACAAUAAUUUUUCUUUGGGGAGUAGUUCAGAUUAGUCAUUUUGAUCUGAUUAUGUUACGUGAAUAUCGUUUGAUAAGUAGAGGUACUUUUUACAUUAUCUAGAUAAGUUUAUUUUCCCUUAGGAAGUCAGCUGUGGUUGUAUUUAGUGGAAGAGAUUUAACACAACAAGACUGUGGAAUUAAUAUAAUAGUAAUAUUAUAUUUUGUUGAUAAAACAGGUUAAUAAUGGUAGACUUAAGCCAACAGGACAGGAAUAUAUGACAUCUGUAGGGAAUCCAGGAUUAUUGAGGGUAUCGAGAUAAAUGUAAGUAGCUAUGUAAUAAGACCAUGAGACAUUUAGUACUCCCCUGCACUGCUGAGACCUUGAUGGGUUGGAAGAAGAAGGAGGAGAGCAUAAACAAGGAAGAGAAGAUAAAAGUAACAUAGAAGAAUUAGAUAACGGUUAGUGAGUGGAGACCAGCAUAGUUAAAUUAUAAACAGGUGAGGACAGAAAUAACACUGGAGAGACAGAAAAGACAUAAGAAUAGAAGAUGUUAGGUUCAUUUAGUUAGUCUCUCCAUGUAUUAAUAUCCUAUCGGCUCCAUAGGCAUGUAUUAUAGUUAUGAUUUUAAGUUAUGUUUGGUAAAAUUCGCUAGGAAAAGAUAUGAUAAUUUAGUUGAAAGAAGUUGUUCAAUCUUAAAGAAGAUAGGACACUUGAUAGAGAAAUGCACAGGGUAGCUAAGGAUGAAUGCCCCAGGGAGAAUUGGACAUGUGGUAUAUGAAAGGGGGCAAUCCUACAAGAGAAGGGCUGACAUAAGGAUAAUUUACUAACCUUACAAAAGACAUUGUUAAGAAAUGCAGCAAAAUUGAUACAUGGCUUGAGCCAUGUAUAAAUAGGGGGAGUAUGGUAGAGCAGGCGAUAGAACAGGAUAGGAUGCUACUAGAACAAAAACAUUUUUUGUAGAAUGUCCAUUCCAACAUUUGGAAAUGGACUUAUUGAACUAUUCAGAAUUAAGGGGAAGAAGGGG
Molecule: long non-coding RNA, 3286 nt
Filed under: Salmo salar (Atlantic salmon)
Lineage: Eukaryota; Metazoa; Chordata; Actinopteri; Salmoniformes; Salmonidae
Description: lncRNA (ENSSSAG00000116957.1)
Source: RNAcentral